Molecule: non-coding RNA, 68 nt
Organism: Podarcis lilfordi (Lilford's wall lizard)
Lineage: Eukaryota; Metazoa; Chordata; Lepidosauria; Squamata; Lacertidae
Source: the annotation of a GenBank genome assembly
GUAUGCUCAGUCAGUAAAGCAUGAGACUAUUCAUCUCAGGGUCGUGGGUUUGAUUCCCACGUGGCGCA